Molecule: long non-coding RNA, 728 nt
Filed under: Brassica napus (rape)
Lineage: Eukaryota; Viridiplantae; Streptophyta; Magnoliopsida; Brassicales; Brassicaceae
Description: long non-coding RNA (BNAP_LNC001068)
Source: RNAcentral
CUAUGUCAACAUUUUGAGCUCGAUAGGCUUCUGCUUGACUACAUCAACGGAUCAUAGCCAGAAAAUACGACGAUAUGUAGAUGGCUUCUCGUGAGAAGAGCAGUAUGAACACAUGAGCCCGCCAUGGGGACUAUAGGGCUGUUCGUUUGGUUGCCGCAGGUACCGGCGGCAGCGGCAGCGUCAACAUUCUGCGUCAACCUUUGUUCGUUUCGUUGACGCAGGAACCGACGGCAGCGGCAGCGUCCGAACGCUGCGUCCUGCGGCUGACGCCGAUAAAACCUGCGGUCGCGAUAUGAUAUGCGGCAGCGGCAGCGUCAGCGUCAGCGAAACGAACAACAACUGUCCUCAUUGACGCUGCCGCCGCCGCUGACGCUGCCGCUGCCGCUGCCGCCGAAACCUGCGGCAACCAAACGAACAGGGCUUAUGAGAGGCAAACAUUUUGGUCUCGCGCAUUCUUUUUUAUUUAUCUUUUUUAUAAUGGGCAUUUUUAGUGAGGCUGGCCUGAGGAAACGAUAGAUACUGUUUGUGUGUUAUAGAGAGAUAAGAAGAUUAUGCUAAAAUUCUUGAAUUUGAUUGAUGCUAAUGAAAACUUCUGAGUUUUUAGUACCUUUCGUUUUCAGUAAGCUUUUUUAUUCUUUGCUUGUUGUGCUUAUCAAACAAAAACCAUCUUCUAUCUUUGUAUAAAAAAAUCAAAUAUAUAAAAAAAAAUCAAAUAUAUUAUAUUGGAG